UGGGUCCCCCGUCCCCUUUGUCACGGAACCGGGCCUAACGCCCGUAAACCGUUGACAGGACCUCAAGAGGCCAAGGAGCUAGUCAACUCUGUCCACCUACGCAGUCUUGGUUUUGUAAUGUUUUCAUGAUUGUGUUGAGUGCCAUUUUACACACUGGAAGGACUCAGAACAAAGUCAGAAAAAAUCGUGUUUGUAUUACAAUGAUGCCAAGUCAGAACCAUCACACCUGCUCAUUUUUGCAACUCUCAAAGAUCACAGCUACUCCCAAACCAAAACCAGAAGUUGUCAUCAAUCCAGACACUUGUUUUCAAGGUUGUAGACAACAUUGUGCUAUUUCACUGUGCUUUAUACUGCCCUCCAUGACGUGCAAACUGGAUAAUCAGUGUAGCAGCAUAAUGGCAUAGUCCUCUGUAAAAUCAAGGACAUGUACACCUCUAAUUAAGCUCACUGGUUUUUCCUCCAUUUCUCUUCUUCAGAAGUUGAACUCCUGAACUAUUGAAAUAAACACCUUUUUUCGGAGAAUGCACACACAGUUUUCAGCACUUCCACAGGAACAUGUUCAGCACCAGUCCCAGAAAUCAAACCAAACAAUGAAUUGUAAAGCUCAACUUCCACUAUGGUUAUCACCAGUAGCGCCUCAGCAGUGAAUCCAAAGACAACACUAAGAGGAGAAAAAUCAAGCCAUAGCAAAAGGUGUAAGACAAAUACCUUCAGUAUCUCUUACUGUGUAUACAUAUUACUAUAGAAACUGAAACAGUAAAUACCUUAUAAACAUCCCUUGUAUGAGCAGAUAAAUUAAUUUCAUAAAGGGCUAGGAUAUGAAGUUAAUAGCUCUUUACAAAUGGCAGAACAUCUGGAACAACUUACCAAGAAAGAAUGGUGAGGAUAGAACUUUCUUUUUUGUGUUUUUCCAAAGUUUGUUAGAUUUUUCUAAAGCACACUGUCCAUUCCCUCUACUGCUGCCAUGUGCAAUUUCACAGAGUCUUUCUUGCAAAUUGAUUAGGGCAGAUUUAACACUGUUACUUGUUUUACACUUAGAAACUGUGUCUACAAAUUGCUAUCUCCACUUUUUUUCCCCACUGGACUUCCUACCUUUUGCUUUCAGGGCCUGACUGAUCUUACUGUUCUUUGUUAUCGGCUGUCUAUAGAGUAUGAAAGUGUACAGCAUUAAAGUACGAGGUGUGCAGGAGUCAACUUAUUAAAAACAUAGAUCCGUGUUAUAUUAAAAUUCCUUAUACAGGCUCUAUAUUCCCAGAGGGCUGCAGGAGAUCCUGUAUUAGGAAAUAUGGAACAGCCAACAUAAUACUCUUUAUUAGUCCCUCCUGUUGUCCGAGCAGUACAUAGCUUACGAAGUAGGGAUAUGUAAUAAGAAUUAGAGAAGCACACAGGAUUUAGGAAAAGCGGAGCAGGCUCUACAUUUGCAGAGAGAUCCUCUAGACCUACUCUCUCCAACUGCAGCCAGUUGUAAAUACCAAGAGAAGAGUGUACUGAUAUUUGCCUGACAGACUCUUCAAUCUCCAACCAAAUACGCAGAUUUAAGUAUCAGAUUUAAGGCUAGUAUGUUCUUCUUUAUAACUUCCCUAGCACUUCACUAUUGUUCAUCAAUAUAGAUAAAUAUUUUCUUUGUAAUGGAUUUUUAGAAUUUUAACUAGCAGUUCAUUAUCCUUAAUUUUAGCUUACGUUUCAAAUUUUGACAGGCAGUGUUACGUUCUAAACAUAAUAGAAGAUUUUAAGUAAUUUAAAAAUGCAAAAUGUUACUUUAAGUUUCUUCAUAUUAUAAUUUUCUGAAGAGUACUGCUUUAUAAAAGCAUGUAUAAUCUAAGGGAACAUAUCUUUCUUUUUGUCAAGGUCAGUUUGAGCUUUCUGAAAGUCAUAAUGUCACUACUUUGAGUAAACAUACAUAUUAUUUUCAGUCAUUAGAGUGCAACAAAUGCUGAUAUUUACUCUACCCAAAAAUAUGUAUUUUGUUUCUUUGUGGUUUCACACUAAUUUAUUUUUGCUUCAGUUUACAAGGCACUGUGAGAACAUUUUCAUCAUCUGAAAUAGCUUUAUCAAAGCUGAGCAACCUAUUUGGAAAGUAAAGUAAACAAAGUUUCUUCUCUCUUAGUUGUAAAUUGUGAGUAAAAAAUUUAAUAAUUCUACAUACCUGGGAAAAUGUGCCAUUACUUAUUUUGGACCCCGAGACAAAUACCUAAAGAAUUCUUCAUGGCCCAGAGAAAAGUCACAUCUCAUAGACCUGAACUUACGGUAGGGGUGAUAAUAUCUGUUUGUCCUAUUGAAUAAUGAACUACUUUGAGAGUGCUACUUUUUUCUUCUGUCUCAGAAUUACUUUAGGUAUUCAUUUAAUUCAUGCAAGACAUGAUUCAAAUACUCUUACAGUGUGUUACUUAUGUUCUCAUAUCUUCAGAACAGAUACUGACAAAAGUUUUAAGCAAAAUACAAAACAAGAACUAUCAAACAAGAAAAGUCAUCGUUCAUAAUCUUCUAGGACAAAAAUUAAGAUUCUGAGCGUAUAACUUACAAAACUGCUUAAGAAAUAUAUGUUUUCAGUAUGUUUAAUAUAAAGAUUUCUUUGAUUUGAAAAUGUAUUUUAGUGAUAAUGUGGACCUUUUCUUAAGAAAGUAAUGGAGAUAUAUAAGUAGAAAUAAAAAUUAAGAACCCUGAAUUAAAACAAAGUUCUUGUUGCUCCUUAAUAUUUAAGUCAGGGUGAAAUGAGUGACUUAAAUUGCUUUGUGAUAAACCAUUCUGUCUGAGUUCUAGGAUGCUACCAUACUUUUGAUGUAGUAUAAGCACUGAGCUGUUCGUGUAGGUCCUGGUAAAAGCCUUCAGAUCUGUUUCAGGGUUCAUUUCGAUCUGAGAGACAGGAUGUCUCAGGAGCAGAGGCAAGCAAACUAUGCACUCAGAGCAGCAGAGGGUUACGAGAUUUAUUCAACGUACACACACUCACACAUACAUGGGCAACCAUUAUAGAUAAUCCUAAUAAGCAGUAAGCAGAAACUCCCUAAGCUAGUGCAGUCUUACUGACCCUUGAGAGAUGGCAAACCGCCGAAAGGAGAGAGAAGGAACAUGCUAGCAGUGGAUUCGAUAGGUAGUGCCAGCAGGGCGUCCCCUGCUUCAAGGUGCACUUUACCUCUCUCUCCCACCACAGCCUCUCCUGCUUUUUUUCUCCCCAGGGUCUACAGGACUUUUUCCACUUGCACACCAUACCCGCAUGGCCAAUGCAUGAUACAGAGCCCAAGUGGAACACCUGCUUGCAAAACAAGUCUUUGCAGAAACAAGAUAAACUACCAAGGUCAGCUCUCUCUACAAAACAACAUUUGUAGGUACAGCCACAAAUAUCACUUCCCUUAAAACAGUCAGACUACUUUGUUCCAUUCAGUCAGGGGCCUUUAGGUCCCCAACACAAAAUCCGUAAAAUAACAGAGGAUAGCUACUAGUCCUCCAUCUUGUUGUGUCAUGUUUGCGUUGAAAACUCGCUUUCACUAAGUGUAACACAGAACUUGAGUUGACCUCUUCGAUAUUUAUUCAUUAGUCAACGUUCAGUGCAGUACCUCGCUCAGUUUCUUGUUUAAAAUUGUCACGUAUGCACAGCACAUAAAUUUGCAUUAUUGUCAAGUCAUUUGUUUUCAACUAGAUGAAAUCUACUAGAAAAUCACUUCAUUCUCACUGUGACCCAUUUAUCUUGUAGUCACACGCAGUUUAAAAUGAGACCUGAAAUAUUAAUUUGUCAUUUAAAUUAUGCAAAAUAAUCCACAGGCAUUCAUAUAAUCUCAUGAAUCUGAGAGAUGUUUUCAGUUACAGAAAGGCAGGAGAUGAGUGACGUUUUUUGUUCUUUAACAGAAAAGAGGGAAAAAAGGAAGAAAGAAGGAACUGUUUUACAAGUAGAACAUUGUAGAACGUUGGAAAAGUUUCACAAAUAUUCUCUUGCAAAAAAAAAGUCACAUAGGUACUUGAACAAUAAUUGUUAUCAGUAAAUGUACAUGCUCUAGACCUUUCUUUUGUAUCACUAUAUGUUUAUAAUACAUUCAGGUACUGUUAGAUAACACCAGCCAAGAUAACAAUUAUUAAUAGCAUAGAGAAAAAUAAGCCUGUCCCCCUCAUAGAACAGCACUGUUAGGCCAGAGUCUUUCUCUGUCUGUCUCAUCAUUCAAGAGUACUAGACCUGAAAUGCUUCAUCAUGUCUUGCAAAAUUUUACACUGAAAAAGGAUGAGGAUGUUUCUGAGAUAAAGUUUUCAGUGAAAAUUUCUCCCAGAAUCAGGGAGAUAUUUUCCCUGCAUUUUCUUCAAAUUUUACUAUAAAAAUGGAAUAAAGGAGUACACUGUGAUAAGCUUUUGUUUCAACUUCUGCAGAAAAUGAACAUUGGACUGGUUCACUAAAAUCUUAACAUUAUCUAAGAGUAUCUAUAGAUGUUAUAGAGCUAUGAGAUCUAUCAAGCUGUUUGCUAUCUUGUUUUGGGUCUGGGUAAAUUUUUUUCAACAAUCUAAUUUGAUAGCAGUACACUGCAAAUCAGAAUCUCAGCAGGAUAUUAUUGGUUUUGAAGUUUUUUUUGGUGAAAAAAACCCAAACAUUCUGUGUAACCAUCUCUGAUGUGAUUUAUCAAAUGCAGAUUUUUCUACAUUUCCCACCUGCUUUCCCUUGUCCUCUUUGGGUCUGCAGGAGCUAAGCAUAAGUGAGAAAAGCCAGGCACAUGAGUACAAAAUGAAUGGAAAAAAAAACAGGAGGAAGCUUCAGCAGUUUUCCCAAAGCUGUGCUUGUUUGUUUUACUUGCAAUGAAUCUCCUAGCUUCAUCAAAUGCAGCAGUGCCAAUAUAGUAUGCCUACCUGCAAGUACUAAGGCCACAGGUUUUAGUAAGUCUACACUACUUCUAAGGACAGUAUUUCACUCUGCUGUCCUUGCCAUAUGUGUAGAAAGACAAGAAGUGUGAAAAGAGGUGGGGUUGCCAGUGAUUCAUUGUCUUGUGGCCUGAGUGGAGAAAUAUGCACACCUGCUGUCAGCAUGUGUCAUUAAUUUUAGUCUGGAGAGUUUUUCUAGGCUGGAGUUUUAACUGAAAUAGUCCUGAAAAGGACCACCUAUUUCCGCAGUUGUUCCAGCUGAUGUUUUGGCAUGUUCUUAUGUUUCUAAGUACUGUUUUCUGACAGUGUCCUAUGCAUGUCACUUUUUUUCAUGUAGGCUUCUGUCUUCUUUUCACAGAUGGUGAACUGAGCAAGUGAGAAAAGGAGUAUUAAUCUUUCUAUAUAAAUUUGUCUGUUCUGAAAUUGGAAAUGCUCCUCAGUGGAAGAGAUUUUAUUAUCCUCACUCAGGAACUAGGAAACCGAAAAUAACAGUCUUAAAUCAAUUUCUACUUGGCAACUGUGAUAAAAGUUGUAAUCUGGUUUGGAAUGUUUGUUCCUUGAUUUUUUCCUUUGUUCCUUCCAUGAUCUGGAGAGCUUGUAGAGCGAGCACAUCUUCAUUCACCUUUGCAGAAAAAUACAUGAUUCAGGCUUAGGCUACUGAGUUGGCAGAAGGACUGGAGAUCCUGGAGUAAAGAACUGUGUAUCCUGAACAGCAGAAGUCAAGAGUUGCAUGAACUGAGUUCUUCAGUAGAUAAAUGGAUUCAACUGAAUAAGGAACAGGCCUGGAAUAGCUAAUAACCUUGAUUUGACUCAUGUGCCACCUGCAAUCACUGUGGAGAAAAUAACAUGCAGUAAUCUACCUUGGCUCACAACUGGCUUCUGACCUGUUCUGUCACUGUCAAGUAUAAUAUGGUAUUUUCGGCAUCAUCUGAGAAGUUCUAGGAACUGCACUUUUGUGUGAGAGCAUGAGCAGGAGACUGAAAAAGUAGUCAGCAGCUCAGGAAGUUAUAGUCUGCUGUGAAGAGUUGGAAUAUGAUAAGAAAAUAGUAGAAGUGUAGAUCAGAAAGGAGGAGAUUUAGAACUGAGAGCACUUUAACAAGAUGAGCUUUUGAAAGGCUUAGUGCCAAGCAGAUACAUGCAGUAUUCUAAUUCACAGUACACCUGAAUCUAGCCAGCAGGAGAAAGAUACUAUGAUCCCCUGACAAUGAUUGUUAGUCUUUUACCACAGUCUCCCAAGAGAAUGUAAAUAGCAGAAUUGUAAGGAAUUAGAUAAAUGCACAAAAGAAGCCUCAUAGCAAAUGACUUUUUCAACUGAUGAAAAAUACUCCCUGUAGGCAAAUUGCUAUGACUCUAGCAAAGGUUAUAAGCAUCAGGGCCCUGGGUGCUGACCCUUAGGAGUCAUGCCUGUACCUUGCUGUGUGUACUGUUGAUGUGACCCUGGCCAGUGGAUGGAGUACCUGUUUUGACCUCAAACCUCUCUGUUAUUGUGGUCUUUCCUGGCCACCUUUGUAGACCUCAUCUUGAUCACCAUUGCUGCACCUCAUACUGACCUGCUUACUCAAAGCUCUGGCCUAAUUCUGCGCUUUCUCAUCAUGAACUUAUUUGUCCUGACUGCCUUGAUGGCUUGCACUCCUCCCUCCAUGGGGCAGUAGGACAGACCCUGGCUGAUGAGGCCCUGCCCAGAUGGCCCUAGGAUCCCAAAAGAAAAAUAUUUGAGGUUUGCAGAGGUACUUUAAAAAUGGUAUCACCCAAAGGCUCCCUAUAACUGGGACUUUCCUAGGAAGAGGCAUGCUAAAAUUUGAGCUUUUGAGUUCUUUGGUUUAGAUGAAGCUAAUGACAAAUUUUAUUAUUCCAGUAGGAAAAUUUACUAUGACUUAAAUGAAUGAGAAAAGACACAGUUGCAGGUACAAUAAAUACCAGUCAAUUAACAUGGAAAUAUUUUUACUAUUUUAACCUCAUGACUAUUUGUGUGACUUAGCUAUGCUGUUUCUUUCACCUGUCCCGUAAACUGUGAUCAUCUGCUCUAAUCCUCCCCACAUCCUGUUGAGCUAAAGUGGUGGGUGUUGAUUUCCAGAUUUUUCUCCAUAUUCCUGAGGGCUAUAUUCUUCCUGCUUCAACUAGAGGUUAAGACUAUGAUGUUAUCACUCUGAGACUUUGCAUAAAGUCAUAUGAACCUAUUGAGUAAUCAAAGAUGAACCCAGUUUUUGAGUUGAUUGUUACUAUGACUCCUGCAAAAAGUGGAAAAGGUGAGGCAUAGAUUAAAGUACGGGCAGUUACACAUUUAGAAUGGAAGACUUUUAUCUAGAAGCUUUGAGAUAAACAGCAAAAGAAUCAAAAAUCUUUGUAAAAGGAAUCACCCUGUCCUAAGCAGCAACUUCACUGCUAUAAUUAGGAAGAAGACCAUUCAAACAGUUCUUAUGUGGUAUUUUUUUUUCCUCACAAUCUGCAUAUUUAUGCAGAUUGGCUUUACAUAGGGAUGUGUCUAUCCACAUUACAGCACAGUGGUAGGAAAGGUGGUGUCGGAUCGGGCUAUUCCUGUUGCCUGCCUCAGAUACCUGCUCCAGCCUUUGCACAAUGGAGUUCCCACAGCUGGGACACUCAUUAUUUUUCUGGUAACCUCCAGCAUGUAGAGGAGGCUGGUGUAUUUGGGCCACCUAGCAGUCCAGUUCCCAGAUGAGGCUGACCGAGUUGUCAGGGAAUGGUCAGGUGAGUUUGCAUACAGGUGUCCCAGCCUCCCUGUAGGGAGCUGUAUGGAAGCCUGGCGGAUACUGAAUUCCAUGUGCUAGCACCUUGUGGAUUAUUAGGAGGCCACCUGGCCAUGCUGCUUACUAGAGAUGCAGCUGACACUGAAUGAUCCAGAAAGUGUUUGAGGAACUCUGAGGAGUGCUAGAAAGGCUGAACACUUGCAAGAAUUAUCCUCCUAUAAUUCCUGACUUGGGGGUCAGGAGUUACAGCUUCACAAGUUGCAGAAGGUCAGCUAGAAUUUAACUGUGGGGGGGAAAAAAAAAGACACAGAUCUGUAAAAAUCCAGACCUGAGGCUGAAAAAAAAUAGAAAAUAGUGUGAAAAGAACAUAACACAAAAUUAUAGAGUGCUAGUGAUCUUGUCUAAAGUACUGGAAAUAUCUCCAAGCUUUAAAUUUUCUGUAUUAACUGUUUUUCUUGUUAAGCUAUAUAAGUAACACUAAGAGCUUUGCUGACACUUCAUAAAAUGUCAGAUGGU
Molecule: long non-coding RNA, 8054 nt
Organism: Numida meleagris (helmeted guineafowl)
Lineage: Eukaryota; Metazoa; Chordata; Aves; Galliformes; Numididae
Exons: 3
Source: RefSeq, a predicted model, not a curated record